RNAcentral lists this ribosomal RNA (292 nucleotides) under uncultured bacterium. RNAcentral describes it as "partial 16S ribosomal RNA". It matches the Rfam family "Bacterial small subunit ribosomal RNA", at positions 505 to 796 of the family's 1533-position model. The record is from RNAcentral.
GUGCCAGCAGCCGCGGUAAGACGUAGGGCGCGAGCGUUGUCCGGAUUUAUUGGGCGUAAAGAGCUCGUAGGCGGCUUGUCGCGUCGAAUGUGAAAACCUGCGGCUCAACUGCAGGCUUGCAUUCGAUACGGGCAGGCUCGAGUUCGGUAGGGGAGACUGGAAUUCCUGGUGUAGCGGUGAAAUGCGCAGAUAUCAGGAGGAACACCGGUGGCGAAGGCGGGUCUCUGGGCCGAUACUGACGCUGAGGAGCGAAAGCGUGGGGAGCGAACAGGAUUAGAAACCCGUGUAGUCC